UACGUAGGCAGCGAGCGUUGUUCGGAAUCACUGGGCGUAAAGCGCACGUAGGCGGAUUGCUAAGUCAGGGGUGAAAUCCUGGAGCUCAACUCCAGAACUGCCUUUGAUACUGGCGAUCUUGAGUCCGGGAGAGGUGAGUGGAACUGCGAGUGUAGAGGUGAAAUUCGUAGAUAUUCGCAAGAACACCAGUGGCGAAGGCGGCUCACUGGCCCGGUACUGACGCUGAGGUGCGAAAGCGUGGGGAGCAAACAGG
Molecule: ribosomal RNA, 253 nt
Filed under: uncultured bacterium
Lineage: Bacteria
Description: partial 16S ribosomal RNA
Rfam family: Bacterial small subunit ribosomal RNA
Source: RNAcentral